This 246-nucleotide long non-coding RNA is filed under the name Solanum tuberosum (potato). RNAcentral's name for it is "long non-coding RNA (STUB_LNC011777)". Lineage: Eukaryota; Viridiplantae; Streptophyta; Magnoliopsida; Solanales; Solanaceae. The record is from RNAcentral.
UGUGAAUCCUUGGAUCCAUUUCGACCAUAAAUUCAAAUUAUUUGAACAAAACAUAGCCGAAGUAGAGGUGUAGGUGUUGUAGGGAUCCAUUUUUUUCCAGAAAAGUUGAUAUAAAGAGACAUAAAGUUGACAGGAGAGAGGGAGGAAGCGGAUGGGGACGGUGUCGGAGACCGCCGGAUGUUCUUGUUUUCCGGCGGUCCAUAGCCGUUUUCUUUGGCAGGAUCUGGGAAAGGGGUGAAACGUCUG